Long non-coding RNA from Actinia tenebrosa (Australian red waratah sea anemone), 1228 nucleotides. NCBI's taxonomy places the organism in Eukaryota, Metazoa, Cnidaria, Anthozoa, Actiniaria, Actiniidae. The record is from RefSeq and is a predicted model, not a curated record.
CAUUAAGAGCGUCUCAUAUGCAGAGCCAAGUUGUCAAUGGUCCAGCAGGUGGACCACAUACCACAUGGUAUAGGCACAUAUCGCUUUCCAGCAUCCGCUGACUGAAAGACCGGAAAAAGAUGUAUUUAGAGAUACAGAGCUUGGGCGACCUGUGCUGAAUUAUGAAAAUUUACUCGCAUUGAAGCCGUAACCUCAGUGGUGUGAAGAAAAUAGCAAACGAAAUUACAAACUAAUUACCUUCAACUUUAUUUGGUACAAUAACUCUUCGUGCGCUUUGACCAGCAAGAGGUUGUGGUGGGCCAAAGAAUUUUUAGCGUGCACCUCCAUUUCCUCUGAGUUACCAUGGAAGGUGCACAGUGGUACGUCACAAGGACGAAUCCGUUCCUCGCAACACAUUAAAUGUUCCAUAGCCUCACUCCUAAAAUAGUAGUUAAGUUAAAAGAAGAACUUCUCAGUGAUUUUAGAUUCUAUAAACUUUCACUCUUAAUCACACAUUUCUCUAUCCUGCAGAGUACACUGCCAAAAUUUCUAGCUAGUAGAGUCUCCCUCGUUGGUUCGAAUAUAAUGCUCCGGGGAAGUUCAACAAUAAUAAUUUUAAUACAAAUAAACACGUAUAUUAUUGACCAUUAUAUUCGAUACUUUGUACCAAGAUGUUUUAAAAUAAAUCAUAAUUUUUCCUUGGACUUACGCCGUGCUCACACAUGUAUGUCAAUCGCCGCAGAUAAGACUUUUUAAAAACAGUUAWAACUGAACUGAUCAUGAUAUACUGGUUCAGAGUAAAGGGAUAUAUACUCACAUUUUUAUUCUAUGUUUGUCUUGUGYUUUUCUGAAGUAUGGACAAAUAUUUUCCAUAUUGAAGAAUUAUGCGGUUUCUCUACUGURAGGACUUGCAGCUACAAAAGACUGUUUUCAGCUUUCCCACGGGGUAAUGAGGUCUGACGCAAGACAAUUAGAACAAAGGGUAUUUGUUAGAAGUAUUUCGACACUUCCCUCUCUUGGUGUGAAGUCACUUUAAUUUCGGUUAUUUCGUUAGUUUAGUUCUGUAUGUAUGUAUGGUAUUUUGUUUUUAAUCUUGCUUUGUUUUUGUAAAUGAUACAUCUUCUUAUCUCUUCAUUGUGUGCUUUCUAGUUUGGACCAAAUCGUUGGUCAUAGGAUGAGCAUUACCAACACUGCAGGGUCUAUAAAGAAAUAAAAAUUUGCAAAAAAAUAAAAACGUUUGUAACAUUUA